Molecule: ribosomal RNA, 492 nt
Filed under: uncultured bacterium
Lineage: Bacteria
Description: partial 16S ribosomal RNA
Rfam family: Bacterial small subunit ribosomal RNA
Source: RNAcentral
AGUGAACGCUGGCGGUAGGCCUAACACAUGCAAGUCGAACGGCAGCACAGUAAGAGCUUGCUCUUACGGGUGGCGAGUGGCGGACGGGUGAGGAAUACAUCGGAAUCUACUUUUUCGUGGGGGAUAACGUAGGGAAACUUACGCUAAUACCGCAUACGCCCUACGGGUGAAAGCAGGGGAUCUUCGGACCUUGCGCGAUUGAAUGCGCCGAUGUCGGAUUAGCUAGUUGGCGGGGUAAAGGCCCACCAAGGCGACGAUCCGUAGCUGGUGUGAGAGGAUGAUCAGCCACACUGGAACUGAGACACGGUCCAGACGCCUACGGGAGGCAGCAGUGGGGAAUAUUGGACAAUGGGCGCAAGCCUGAUCCAGCCAUACCGCGUGGGUGAAGAAGGCCUUCGGGUUGUAAAGCCCUUUUGUUGGGAAAGAAAAGCAGCAGGUUAAUACCCCGCUGUUCUGACGGUACCCAAAGAAUAAGCACCGGCUAACUUCGUG